CACUGGAUAGCUCAGAGGUAGAGCAGCAGAUCUUGAUCUGUUUGUCGCGGGUUCGACUCCCGCUCCAAGCA
This 71-nucleotide transfer RNA is filed under the name Xanthomonas vesicatoria. RNAcentral's name for it is "tRNA-OTHER". It matches the Rfam family "tRNA". Rfam says of the family: Transfer RNA (tRNA) molecules are approximately 80 nucleotides in length. Their secondary structure includes four short double-helical elements and three loops (D, anti-codon, and T loops). Further hydrogen bonds mediate the characteristic L-shaped molecular structure. tRNAs have two regions of fundamental functional importance: the anti-codon, which is responsible for specific mRNA codon recognition, and the 3' end, to which the tRNAs corresponding amino acid is attached (by aminoacyl-tRNA synthetases). tRNAs cope with the degeneracy of the genetic code in two manners: having more than one tRNA (with a specific anti-codon) for a particular amino acid; and 'wobble' base-pairing, i.e. permitting non-standard base-pairing at the 3rd anti-codon position. Lineage: Bacteria; Pseudomonadati; Pseudomonadota; Gammaproteobacteria; Lysobacterales; Lysobacteraceae. The record is from RNAcentral.